UGAAGUUUCCGUUUCACCCACAGCGUGCUUUAGUGCAGCCGGGUCGGACUUGAUGUUUGAAAUACUGACCGACAGCUCAGAUUUAACUGUCUGUAGUUCCGUUUUGAUGGGUGUUAAACUUUCACUCAAAGCCGCCAGGAGCUGGGUCUUUAAAAUAACCGCCGUCUUGUUACAGAGUGAAAGUAGCAGUUCCUCCUUAAGGUCAGAGAUUGCAGCAUCUGAGGGCCUCUUCAAAAGAAGACAUAGUUGAUGAAGGCAUUCUGGAGCAGGACCAGAAAGACCACGACCAAGCAGCCUUGAGAUCUUAGGCAGCGUCUCCCUCAGGUCCCUCUCUAUCUCCCCACACAUCCACCAACCACUGGAACACAUCUCCAAAGUUCUGCUGGUCCAGCUCAGCUUCCCCUCAGAAGAAGUGCCGCUACCUGCCAGAUGAAGGAGCCUUUUGAGAGGCAGCUGGCAUCGUGAUUGGACUGUACUUUGGUCUGUUCCAAUCCAGCUUCAGCUCCAGAGACGGCAGGCGGGACGAGUCAACGGAGGCCGGAUGGACGAAGGCAUGCAGCUGAGUACAAUCCAGAAAACAACAGAGGAGGAGUGCAGCAGCCCAGAGCCAGAACAACCAGAGUAACAUCGUAUGUCUCUUAGAAAACAUCAUAGUAUAGCCUUUGGUAUGAAAAAACGCCAUCAUAUACAUCGUAUAUUGUACAAAUAACAAGUCAAAGGAAAGAGACAUACAUUGUAGAAUUGUAGUAAUUGUGGGCUGACUGAUUUACUGAUUAUCAGUAUUUUAUUUUUUACUGAUUUACAGUAAUAAAUACAUUUAAAAAUGGUGA
Amphiprion ocellaris (clown anemonefish) is the source of this 830-nucleotide long non-coding RNA. RefSeq lists it as uncharacterized. The record is from RefSeq and is a predicted model, not a curated record. The transcript has 2 exons. NCBI's taxonomy places the organism in Eukaryota, Metazoa, Chordata, Actinopteri, Pomacentridae.